UACAGAGGUCUCAAGCGUUGUUCGGAUUCAUUGGGCGUAAAGGGCUCGUAGGCGGCCAACUAAGUCAGACGUGAAAUCCCUCGGCUUAACCGGGGAACUGCGUCUGAUACUGGAUGGCUUGAGUUUGGGAGAGGGAUGCGGAAUUCCAGGUGUAGCGGUGAAAUGCGUAGAUAUCUGGAGGAACACCGGUGGCGAAGGCGGCAUCCUGGACCACCUCUGACGCUGAGGCGCGAAAGCCAGGGGAGCAAACGGG
RNAcentral lists this ribosomal RNA (253 nucleotides) under uncultured bacterium. RNAcentral's name for it is "partial 16S ribosomal RNA". It matches the Rfam family "Bacterial small subunit ribosomal RNA", at positions 524 to 776 of the family's 1533-position model. The record is from RNAcentral.